RNAcentral lists this ribosomal RNA (628 nucleotides) under Helvella subglabra. RNAcentral's name for it is "eukaryotic LSU rRNA". The stretch from base 318 to 471 matches the Rfam family "5.8S ribosomal RNA". Lineage: Eukaryota; Fungi; Ascomycota; Pezizomycetes; Pezizales; Helvellaceae. The record is from RNAcentral.
GACCCCGAAAAAGGGCGCAUGUUUCUCGACUCAGAGAGUUUUCUUCGUCUCUCGCCCCAGGUUACGGCCCAGGGCGAGUCGGGCUACGGUGUGCGGUGCUCCCGAAGCCCCAGCGCCGCGUCCCCCACCGCCGGGCGGCGGAUGCCCACAACCCCACACCCUCUGCGUACACAUCCCUGUUGCUUCCCCCGGGUCUCUCCCCGGGGGGAGGUCCCGGAGCAAACCAUGCUGUCCAACCAACCAGCGGCCCCCACCCGUCUGAAGGCCAUCGUGCCUAGGCAGAUGGAACGAGCGAGGAAGGGAACGGAAAUUGCAAAAACUUUCAACGACGGAUCUCUUGGUUCCCGCAUCGAUGAAGAACGCAGCGAAAUGCGAUAAGUAAUGUGAAUUGCAGAAUUCAGUGAAUCAUCGAAUCUUUGAACGCACAUUGCGCCCCCCGGCAUUCCGGGGGGCAUGCCUGUUCGAGCGUCUCCAGGACAUACACAUCGCGCGGGCUAACGCGCGGUCGUGGCGGCGGUGGCGAUCCCCAGCCGGAGGCCACCCCGCUGGAAUACAUGGGCGGACGCCUGCCGCGUUGCCGAGCGUGAUAGGAACGCAUCGGCGCUCGCGAGCGGCGAGGCUGCCAGCC